This is a long non-coding RNA of Dalotia coriaria, 1593 nucleotides long. RefSeq lists it as uncharacterized. Lineage: Eukaryota; Metazoa; Arthropoda; Insecta; Coleoptera; Staphylinidae. The record is from RefSeq and is a predicted model, not a curated record. The transcript has 3 exons.
GGUAGAAGUGACUCGUGUUCAGGAAUUCGACCUGCAACUUGCGAAAAUUUGCAUUAAAAGGUAAUUUUUUCAACCUUUAUCGUGAAAUGUUUGUAUUAUUUCGGGUUUGCACGCGAUCUUGGCAGCUCAGUAACUUCAGCGUGGCAUCUAGAGUUGCGGAAUUAAAUUCUCCGCCGGGGUGUUAUUAUUUGUUGCAGGAAUUCGACAAAGACUAUUAUCACUAUCUUAACUACAAUUAAUCUAUUUACACUUGAUAUGUGUGUUGUCAUCAUCAUCAUCAUCAUUUCGGUGACUUAUGGUGACAGUCGUAACAGUCGGUGACUUAUGUUUGUUAUUUGAUAGAUUAAAUUUGAACAUCGUGCGUCCUCUAGAUUUGAUUUAUUGUAUUUUUGUGUAAAUUUGCUAGUCAUUUAGACAUGGUGAUGCAUGCGCACUUUCUUGUACGUGUUUCACACGUACGCUGCUAUUUAAAGCGUGACCACUCACUGCCUCAUAGACAAUUUCGCACUGACACACAUGCAAGCCACACUGUUUGAAACACUUUGUUGUUUUGUGAGGUACUAUAAAGUGUUCUCAGAUGGCGUAACGAUGUAGGUUUACCUGGAAAUAUUCCAGCGAGAGAAUUUUGUUUUCUUCAAUCGGUGCGAUAAAGACGAGCGCACAUUCCACAAUUUCGACUUGUGUUAUUCUUUGAUGUAUCCUUGGCUACGGUUCUGGUUUGUCGCAUUUCAUGGAUCCGAGAACAAUUUAUUCCACUUCUUUCAUUUUGGGAGAAAUCGAUAGAAAAUGAAAAAUUUAGAUGUUACACCACAUAAAAAACGAUUCAUUUGGCAUCGCUCAAAAAAUAUGAAUCAAUAACUGAAGAUAAACAUGUACAAUCCUGUUUGGAAAACCUUGCCGAAAACCUGAAAAUGGUCUCCAGCUUGCAAUUAAUUAGCUGUAGUUGGGAGCGCCGUAAAUAUACUGCCUAGUGUGCGAGUUGUGAUAUCCAGGUAUAGUUUAGAUACACGAAUAUUUGUAUGUAAACAAUUUUUUGUUGAGCCUAUCGCAAUAGCCACACCGCGUGACCGCGUGGUCGUUUCAGAGCGCGCAUUCAGUUCCAUUCCGGUUGCCGAGCGAAACAUGCGUGUUCAUCGCGACUAGUUUUAUCUCUCCUUAUUAUAAAUUGAACGUAAAUCGAUGUAUAUUCAAUAAAAAAUCGACGACAUUUAUUAGAAUUGCGCGUGUUCGGAAUUUCCCCAGAUAUUAAACACGAGUGAACUACUGCCGGUCGUCGGGAAUAUUUUUCGCAUGUGGAUUAUACUGCACUUGUGUUGGCCUGCAUGUGCACGGCGUGCGUGUCCGUCGGCUGUCGGUUAUUGCCCAGAAUAACUUGGAUUUAUGUUUAAUUCAAAUAAGAAUACAACGGAUGUGCCUGGAGAAGAAGUUUACGCUUACAAGGACCCUGGAGUUCCGAAUAUUCAUCGCAGAAGAGUUGCAAAUGUGCACAUGUUUUAAGGCAAGUCUUCCGCGGCAUUUAAUAGUUGUCGAUAUUUUUCUAUAUAAAGAAUGUUUGUAUUUGUAAAUGUUCUCAAUAAAAAAAAUUAAUAUGAA